UCCAGACUCCUACGGGAGGCAGCAGUGGGGAAUCUUCCGCAAUGGGCGAAAGCCUGACGGAGCAACGCCGCGUGAUCGAAUGAAGGCCUUCGGGUUGUAAAGAUCUGUUGACAGGGACGAAUAAGCAAUGCGAAUAGUUUUGUGUAUGACGGUACCUGUUUAGAAAGCUCCGGCUAACUCCGUGCCAGCAGCCGCGGUAAUACGGAGGAUGCGAGCGUUAUCCGGAUUUAUUGGGUUUAAAGGGUGCGCAGGCGGAGGUGCAAGUCAGCGGUCAAAUUGCGGGGCUCAACCCCGUACUGCCGUUGAAACUGCAUCCCUUGAGUGCGCGAGAAGUAUGCGGAAUGCGUGGUGUAGCGGUGAAAUGCACAGAUAUCACGCAGAACUCCGAUUGCGAAGGCAGCAUACCGGCGCGCAACUGACGCUCAUGCACGAAAGCGUGGGUAUCGAACAGGAUUAGAUACCCGUGUA
This 468-nucleotide ribosomal RNA is filed under the name uncultured bacterium. Its description in RNAcentral is "bacterial SSU rRNA". It matches the Rfam family "Bacterial small subunit ribosomal RNA", at positions 330 to 792 of the family's 1533-position model. The record is from RNAcentral.